Ictalurus punctatus (channel catfish) is the source of this 1692-nucleotide long non-coding RNA. Lineage: Eukaryota; Metazoa; Chordata; Actinopteri; Siluriformes; Ictaluridae. The record is from Ensembl.
GCGAGGCAUCUAUCAAUCAAGAUAUACAGGAAGUACAGCAGGCUACGGCAGUGGGAAGUUGAUUAGUUUGUGGAUUAAAAUAUGGCGUUCUGCUAAAUUUCUGCAGUUCAUCUGGAAAAAAUCUGGAGGUUUUAAAAGAGACGAUAUAAAACGACUGCGCCCGUGUCCACCAGUGGUGUGCAGAGCGAGGCUUCGUGGUACACUGAAACAGGACAAGCAAAUGUGCCAUAUUGUCUCGAGGCUUCGAAACAAUCCGACACCCGUCUCCACGGUGACACCUAGUGGUCACUUGCAGGUGUUGCUAUGAAACAACCUUGACAACGAUUCAGAUAAGCCUUAACGAAUUAUAACCCACAUGUUGUUUGUGUCAAACAAGGAAGUGUGUGGGGGAGUCGAUGGUGUUUUCAAAUGGUAUGCUGCUGCCUUGGGUUUGAAUCCUGGGUGAAGUGUGCCUGUCCACAUCAUUCUAACCCAAAACCAGGAGAAAAACGAACCAACAUAAAUGGCUCCGACUUCCUACUAACCACUAUUACCAGUGCACUAUUUGCAAAGGUGAAUAUUAAUGUGUGUUAGAUAACAAAGAGCAUAAAUAAAGUCACAAACAGGCAGAAGGUCAUACACAGGUUAAAUCAACAUACGUAAAGAACUCCUUAAACACAAAGCAAUGGCAAUGAUCUGCCAGGGGAUGGAGACUGACGCGCCUUAAGUACACCUCCGGAAACGUGCAGCCAACCAAUCCUAUUGCACAAGGCCGGAGCAGGCGUGGACAAGAUGUGAUCAUCCAGUGGCAAGCCAGAACGUGACACAUACAGUAGGUGGGGCCUAGAGAAGAGGGAGGAGACAAAAAGCAACCAUCCCACCACUGCCAUAGACACACGAAUGGCAUUUCGAGCAAACAUAAAUACACUGAAGAACGUAACAAGAAUGCAAGAAGAAUGGAAUGCAACAUGUUUUACAUGUAAAAUAAAACACGUUAUUUCAACCUAGUUCUCUUGUUCAAAGUAGUUAUAGUGUUCAGAAACAUUUGUGAUAUUUCAUGUUCCAUACCUGUCCAUUAUAUAGUUUUAUAAAAGUCAUAAAAGUUAUAAAACAAUCAUAAAAGUUUUUUUCACAAAAACACAAAAGCAAAAAAAAUCUAUCAAAACAGAUUAUACAAAUAUAUGUGGAUUACCUUAACUUGUACACACAGGAAUAAUAAAAAUACAUACAUAUGUAAUACAUAUGUAAUUAUUUUGAAAAAUCAACCAAAGGACAGACAAAGAAUUUCUUGAUUUAUUUCAACAUUUAUUUCAACUGCAAAUAUCACAACCCUCUUUUGAACUCUUCACUUUCCUAGCUUUGCAGGCCUGUAAAAUAUUCUAAUGAUACAUUUGUAGUCCAACAUCCUUGGCGACCUAAGGCUGUGUUCACACAAAUUUUUGGAAGCAAACAGCACCUGAUUUGCAUAAUAAUCUUAUGGAGUAGACCAUAUUUUCAAAAAUGAACUAAGCUUCUUUUGGGAUGCGCUCAACUGCAUUUUGCAACAGCAUUUUAUUUUAUAUGAAAAAACGCUUUGAUCUGCGAUUUUCAUCAGAAAAAGACAUUACGUGCGAACACAGCCUAACUUUGUUUAGCUACCAAGCCCUGUUAAAUACUAAGCUUAGUUCUGUUGAGGUAUGUUUAUGUAACCUCAACUAACUAGCUUCACUGGCU